UACACAAUGAUUUCAAUUACAACAGAUAGGACAUUACAAAAUAGGUUAUUUCUACUCUCUACUCUAAACGCUGCUAUCUGGUGAAUGAAAGCAUUUUUGUAUGAAAACUCCAUACUAUCAGCAUUGGACAUGAUUUCUGAUUUUCAGCAAUCAUUUUAAGAACUUUGGGGCCAUCAAAAUAAAAAUGCAACAACAACUAAAAUCAUCAUCACCACCACCUUUAAUUUUCAAGAAAUUCAACAACAAAUUCAACUGGAAAAAAAGUGACAUUAUAAGCCAAGCCAAAUCCACUAGUAUUGGGAAAUACCUAGAAGCCUUGCAUUCUGACUAACCAGCCAUCAACAGGCAUAGAGAAAUAAGCUCCAUUUGUACACCAUUUCAAAGAUACAACCAAAAG
Molecule: long non-coding RNA, 397 nt
Organism: Thamnophis elegans (Western terrestrial garter snake)
Lineage: Eukaryota; Metazoa; Chordata; Lepidosauria; Squamata; Natricidae
Exons: 2
Source: RefSeq, a predicted model, not a curated record